Molecule: long non-coding RNA, 2760 nt
Filed under: Marmota monax (woodchuck)
Lineage: Eukaryota; Metazoa; Chordata; Mammalia; Rodentia; Sciuridae
Source: RNAcentral
CUUUAAAAAGUUUGCUUGGGCAAGAAAAAAGUUCUGGAAUGGAGCAGAAUUCUAUGCUCCCCCCAACACACCUGUACAGAUUACCUGUAUAGCCAGAGAAGAGGAAGGGCCAGACAAGAACAACCUGAUUGGCUGCAGUCACAUUGCCUUAUAUGGGCAUGUUCUGGCAGCUUUCAGCCUCUGAUUGGUUGGAGAUUCAGCUGCUAUGAUUGGCUAAGACUCGGUGCUUGGUUACAGGGACAUCCUCUUAGGUUAAGUUACCACAAGCCGGCACCAGAAGUGAGGUGUUAGGCACCAAAAGUGAGGUGGUACUUUAGGACGUAUGGAGACCACUUUGGGCCAAACUUUGUCAUACAAGUGUGGAGACAGGUGUUGGCCAAACUUAAAAAUUUCAUAGUCCUAAGAAUUUACCCAUCAUAAGUUGAAAAAUUUUAAAUCCAAAGUGCUUUCAACACACUUAACCUACCUAGCAUCCCAGCUUAGCAAGGGGUAUCCUGCAGACUGUCAGUUGUUUACCCUGAUAAUCGUGGGCUGCAGCUCACCAUUGGUGCCCAUCACGGUUGACAGAAUAUGGACCGCAUAUCACUAGCUGGACGUUAUACAGCUUGAAUGGUCACUGAUCCAGGUGAUCCAGGAAAGUCCAAUGUAAAAGAACUGAGGCAUGGUGCCAUGAGAUGGGAGAAAGGCAGGCAGAUCCAGCACAGAGCCACAUAUUGGGGAAUUACUGAGAGAAGUAUGGUCAAGUGCAGCGGCAAGACCAGAAGAUCCCCAAGACUUGGGACAGAGGGAGGGGGUUUAUAUAGUGGUCAAGACAUAAGCGACUCAUCAAGCCAGAAUGGAGCUGGUUUAUUCCAAGCUAAUGUGAAGGAUGUCAAGUAAAUUCCUGGUGCUGACCUAUGAUUCCAUUUAUAUGAAAUCUCCAGAGACAAAUCCAUAGACAGAAAAUAAGAUUAAUGGCCGCCUGGAGCUGAGUAAUGGCUGAAGGCCUUGGGUUUCUUUUUGGGGUGAUGACACAUUCUAAAAUUGAUUAUGGUGAUGGAUGAGCAACCCUGAGUAUACCCAGAGCAACGGAGUGUACACUUUCAGUGGCUGAAUUGUCUACUAUGUGAUUUAAGUCCCAGAAAAGCUGCUGAGUAAAGAUUCACCCACCCCAGUGGCCACUGUGAUUUUUGGUAGUUGUGUAACCAGCACCUCAAUCAAGAUAUAGAAACGUUCCAUCACCCUGAAGAGUAUCAGUGCUCCUGGGCAGUCUCCCAACUCCCAGCAGGAGGCAACCACGGAUCUGCUUCUGCUGAUGUUUUCAAUUCAGGGCUAUCGUCAAUAAUAUUAUCAACAUUUGCAUACAUUAUGUAGACAUGUUUUCAUUUCUCUUGGGGAAAUACCUAGAAGCGGUACCAUGAGGUCACAGAGAAGAAGUGAUUUGUCUAAGGUCCCCAACUAAGAGCCCAAGAUUGGAUGGUAACUUUUCUGACCCAGGGAGGAGAGGGGCUGACCCUCUAGGGCAUGCAGGGGCAUGGCUCCCAUUCAGUUCUCCUCCCAGAGGUUCAGCCUGUCCCCUCCCAGCUUGUCCCCUCCCUGCCCUGGCUCCCAGGCCCUUAUCCCCAGGCUCCUGGUGGAGUGGGAAGCUGUGGAGGGGUUCUCACUAGGGGAGUGGAGAGAAGAAAUAAGGUGGACAUAAACACUGAACAGGAGUCUGUGGACAGAAGAAAUGGAGAGGCAUGUGUUUAGCAAAACAGAGAGGAGAGGGGGAAAAGGAGAGAGAAAGGAAGAGGAAAGAAGAAGGUAUUGUUCUCCAGUCUUACAGUCCAUGUGGACACGUCCUCUUGGGAAGUUAAGUUGGUAAUUCUGGUAAUUUGGCAAACACAUUCUUGUUCCUUUACAAGCUCCAGAUAGAAACACCCACCUUCUGUUGAGAUCAGAGGGUGGCAGGAGUGUGGCAGAAGAUGUUGCUUGGUGUUUGUGAGGAUGGCCUGAGGUCUGAGCCUAAGCAUCUCCAUUUUAAAACUCCAGCUUGAAACCUGCAGUCUCACCAGGCACACCUAAGGGAGCCCUCCAGUAGGGCCCUGAGGCACAAACAAGUCACCUCUCCCCACCCUGACAAACUCGAGUGAAGCCUCUGGCAGGGAAAGGUGAAAAAAUCAGGGUGGGGACCACCAGGCCAGAUGUUUUAACCCCUGGGUAAAUGAUGUCACUGAGAAAUCCGGUGCUAGCUGAUGAGGAUUGAAAAGGGGGGGGGGUCAAAAGCCCCCAAAUUUAGUAUAAAUAAUAGAGCAUAUGAACAGACAUUCAGCCAGCCAACACUGAUGCACACAGCUGGAUGCACAUCACUCCUGAGGAGGACCUGGACUGACAUCCCAUCCCUUGUCAUUGCUUCCCUGAUCCUCUGCAUGGUCCUCACCACUUUCAAACUCUACAGCCACAUCUUGACCCUGGUGAGAGCCACAACUUCUCUCUAGGACCACCUCCCCAGCUGGCCAUCAGCUCCACCCAGGAGAAGCCAGCCUUGGUUCCCAACCUGAUCACCGCGGUCUGAGUGGUGGGCAUCUGCUGGACUUAAAGCCUAAGGCCUGGGACUUCUGAUCUGAUGACACCUGAACUUAGCAUGCAGAGGGAAUGUCUGUCCUGAGCCUUGCAGGUAGCUGAGGUGCUGUUUGCAGUGCUUAGAACUAAUCUAGAACUGAUUGCUGUGAAUUGACUAUGUCUAUUGCAGUGCCCAGCAUUAAGGAUGAUCAUUUUCUUGUUUAAGAACCUACAGAGUGA